UGUGGGAGAAGUGAAGGAGAGUGCACACAGCCGUGUGACUCGGCCUAAAUUUCUCAACCCCCAAAUCCUAAUUUUUUUUUAUUUUACUUUCAUCUUCCCCAAAUCCCUUAAUCCUAGCCGCCGCUAACUAACUCUCUUCCACCUCUCCGACCACAAUCGUUCCCUCAUUGCUCACGCAUCUCCUCUUCUCCACCACCCCAUGCCCUCUCCCUCUUUUCUCUUUUCUCUUUUCAUUCUCCCUUCCUCACCUCGUCAAGCAUCCACGCCUGCUGCCCCUACUCUUCCCCUCACCUCUCCAAACCCUCCUC
RNAcentral lists this long non-coding RNA (308 nucleotides) under Gossypium raimondii (Peruvian cotton). Its description in RNAcentral is "long non-coding RNA (GRAI_LNC000928)". Lineage: Eukaryota; Viridiplantae; Streptophyta; Magnoliopsida; Malvales; Malvaceae. The record is from RNAcentral.